RNAcentral lists this ribosomal RNA (433 nucleotides) under uncultured bacterium. RNAcentral describes it as "bacterial SSU rRNA". It matches the Rfam family "Bacterial small subunit ribosomal RNA", at positions 958 to 1392 of the family's 1533-position model. The record is from RNAcentral.
AACGCAAGAACCUUACCAGGUCUUGACAUCGAUGGAACAUCUGGAGACAGAUGGUGCCCUUCGGGGCCCUGAAGACAGGUGGUGCAUGGUUGUCGUCAGCUCGUGUCGUGAGAUGUUGGGUUAAGUCCCGCAACGAGCGCAACCCUUAUGUUUAGUUACUAACGCGUAAAGGCGAGGACUCUAGACAGACUGCCGGGGACAACUCGGAGGAAGGUGGGGACGACGUCAAAUCAUCAUGCCCCUUAUGACCUGGGCUACACACGUGCUACAAUGGCCACUACAGAGAGAAGCGAAGCCGUAAGGUGGAGCGGAUCUCAAAAAAGUGGUCCCAGUUCGGAUUGAGGGCUGCAACCCGCCCUCAUGAAGUCGGAGUUGCUAGUAAUCGCGAAUCAGCAUGUCGCGGUGAAUACGUUCCCGGGUCUUGUACACACCG